GCCGACGUGGCGAAAUUGGUAGACGCAGCAGACUCAAAAUCUGCCGCCCGCAAGGGUGUAUCGGUUCGAGUCCGAUCGUCGGCACUA
RNAcentral lists this transfer RNA (87 nucleotides) under Spirochaetales bacterium. Its description in RNAcentral is "tRNA-Leu". It matches the Rfam family "tRNA". Rfam says of the family: Transfer RNA (tRNA) molecules are approximately 80 nucleotides in length. The record is from RNAcentral. Lineage: Bacteria; Pseudomonadati; Spirochaetota; Spirochaetia; Spirochaetales.